RNAcentral lists this long non-coding RNA (205 nucleotides) under Panax ginseng (ginseng). Its description in RNAcentral is "long non-coding RNA (PGIN_LNC003219)". The record is from RNAcentral. Lineage: Eukaryota; Viridiplantae; Streptophyta; Magnoliopsida; Apiales; Araliaceae.
AACAAUAGAAUUCACCAGGCAUGCGAUAGACCGCACAGACAAGUUAUUCCAACAGAAUAAUAAUGAAUGGAAUAACAAAAGAAUUUCGCCAUGUAUGCGGUACUUCGCAUAGACAGGUUAUUCUAACAUAAUAAUAAAGAAUGAAAUAACAACCCUUGCGAGUAUUAAAAGAAAAUAACUCUCUUCAUGAAUACGAAAGAAUAAU